RNAcentral lists this ribosomal RNA (455 nucleotides) under Anelosimus ethicus. RNAcentral describes it as "partial 16S ribosomal RNA". The stretch from base 201 to 455 matches the Rfam family "Archaeal large subunit ribosomal RNA", at positions 2156 to 2676 of the family's 2987-position model. Lineage: Eukaryota; Metazoa; Arthropoda; Arachnida; Araneae; Theridiidae. The record is from RNAcentral.
ACAUUUUUUAUUAUAUUAUAAUAAAUAUAGUCUGCUCAAUGAUUUACUAUAAUUAAAUAGCCGCAAUAUCUGUGCUAAGGUAGCAUAAUCAUUUGUUUUUUAAUUAAAAACUAGAAUGAAAGGCUUAACAUUUAAGUUCCUUUAUUAAUUUUAAGUUAUUAACUUAUACUAAAUAUAAAAAUAUAUUUAUAAUAAAAAAAGACGACAAGACCCUAUUAAAUUUUACUUAUUGUUAAGCUGGGGAAGCUUAUUAAAAAUAAUUUUAAUACAAUUCAAGUAAAUAUCUAAUAUAAUUAGAUUAUAAACAAAUUACUAUAGGGAUAACAGCGUUAUCCUAUUUUAAAGUUCAUAUUUAUAAUAGUAAUUGCGACCUCGAUGUUGAAUUAUAUUUCUUUUAAUUAACGCAACAGUUAUAAUAGUAGGUCUGUUCGACCUUUAAAAUAUUACAUGAUCUG